CGACUCUGCAGAUGAGGAGACUGGGGCUCAGAGAGGUUAAGACAUUGUUCAAGGUUACACGUCUCGAGCCAGAUUAAAACAAGCUGCUGCUGUUUUCCAGAGUUGUAACUUCAGACCCCCUCGCCCCCCUCCCCAGCCUUCCCUCUGCCUCCUGCUCCUGGUCACCUGCCCUUAAGUGGAUCGUGUCGGCAGACGCAGGGGUGGCUCACCCGUGACCCCUUCGCACACCUGCCCUCUCACGGUCACAGAGCAGGUGCGGUCCUUUCCCACCGAGAGCACAGGUGAGGCAGCGACCCCUCCGCUCAGGCUGCUGGCCCUGGACAUGGUCGUCCUCCCAACACCUUAGAAGAAAGAAAUGCUUCUCGGGCCUCAGAACUCGUCCUGAACAAACCCAAGAUCCAUAAUGAGCUCUGGGAAGAGGCAUGAGUGUAGGAGAAAUCUGUCCACACUGCUGGGCCAAGCCUCCGGACAAGCACGAGGAGACCCAGCAGUGUUUUUGUUUUAAUCCCGAAGAAGAAAAAACCACCUUUGAUUAGAUUAAAUAUGCUUUGAGUAGGGCCCGAAGUCCUCAGCUUUAAUGUGCAUGAGAUCUGAAACCCAAGAUGUUUUCAGAGGCUUUGAGAGCGGCCCUGACAGCACGCGACACCUGCUCUCUCGGUCCGUGGGCUGUCGAGGGCCGGGCAGCGGAGAGGGGCUCCCUGACGUGGCUGCAGCCCGGCCCCAGGGGUAGCGGGAAGAGCACGGGCCGGCACCUGCCCGCGGCUCCGGUUCUCCCUCAAGCACGCACGCUCAGAGGGCACGUGUCUGCCACUCCCUCACCUGCGUGAGGGGAGAUGUCAUCUCCCACCCCUGGAACGAACGCCACGACUGAGACGGGCAGGUGACCUCGGGAAGAAGCUGGCGGUGGACGCUGACCCCACGGCCUUGAACCGACAGCCACUGAGAGGGGACACAGGCGCCACUCCAGGGCUCGCGCACGGGCAGGCGUCCUCCCCUCAUCCCUCCCAAGUGGCUCCAGAACAAGCUGCAGAAUUUCCCUGUUGCAGAAUUUCUGAGAGAAUUGUAGACCCGAGAGCUGGAAGGGGCCUCGCGAGCUGGCGCGAGCCCCUUUCCUUCCAGCAGGGGCAGAUCUGUGCCUCCUGCUUUGUGAACGAGGUGACUGCGGUGCUGAGGCUGGUGGUUGCUGUGCUGACGUGACCAGCAGGCGACGCUGGUGUGGAGGCUGGGGGAUCCUUGCCUUCUGUUACCCCAAACUGCUUCUCACAUGUAGAAGAUGCCACCAUCAUGCAGAGUAUGAAUCAGGAAACAUGAAAGUCAUGAAAAAAGGCACGCAGGACCCACAGGAGCCUUGGCAGCCAAGUCUGAAGGAUGUCACCCCUGGCGCACAGUGGGUCCCCGCACACUGACAGUGGAGGCUGGGCAAAGGUGACCGGCGACAAAAGCAGUGAGCUUGAAGGCCGCGAGACCGGCCCGUUGGGCCUGGGUUUGCGCGCAGACCGUAUGUGGCCGGUGGAUGCGCGGUGCCUCUGAGAUGUCACAAAAGUGAGUCCAUUCAACAAGAAAGCUAGUUUGGUAAAAGAGGGAAGACCGCCAGCGGGGCGGAGGCGGCGGCAGUUGCAGGGCCCGGACAAGCCGAUUAGCCGCCAGCAGCGCCGUGGCUCCCGUGCCGAGGCCCCUGCGGCCCGCAGCCCCGGAGACGUGCGGCGCCGGGCACAGGGCAGCACGGGCCGGCGGAGGCCGGGACCUUAUCGGGACAGCCUCCCGG
Molecule: long non-coding RNA, 1765 nt
Organism: Camelus dromedarius (Arabian camel)
Lineage: Eukaryota; Metazoa; Chordata; Mammalia; Artiodactyla; Camelidae
Source: Ensembl